UACGUAGGGGGCGAGCGUUGUCCGGAUUUAUUGGGCGUAAAGAGCUCGUAGGUGGUUCGGUAAGUCGGAUGUGAAAUCUCCAGGCUCAACCUGGAGGGGUCAUUCGAUACUGCCGUGACUCGAGUCCGGUAGGGGAGUGUGGAAUUCCCGGUGUAGCGGUGAAAUGCGCAGAGAUCGGGAGGAACACCCGUAGCGAAGGCGGCACUCUGGGCCGGUACUGACGCUGAGGAGCGAAAGCGUGGGGAGCAAACAGG
This 254-nucleotide ribosomal RNA is filed under the name uncultured bacterium. Its description in RNAcentral is "partial 16S ribosomal RNA". It matches the Rfam family "Bacterial small subunit ribosomal RNA", at positions 524 to 776 of the family's 1533-position model. The record is from RNAcentral.